UUUUCCAACCCAUUCUCACUCCAAAGGCGUCAAAAACCGAAGCAUGGUCAAGCGCCCCUAGCGUCACUUUUAUGACGCCAAAUGUGCCUCUCGGCGUCGACUAUCGAAGCACUACGACCUUCAUUGCUUUCAGUGGGAAACUUUUGGCGUCAGAAUUCGACACGAGGACAUGAGAUGUUUAUCGCUAUGAAAUCACGUUCAAGAAGUCUCAUUCAGCACACAUCGCGCGAUACUUGCUAUCAUUUCCACAGUUUGGCUGAAAAGACGUAAAGGCAGUCAGCCCAGUGGUGUUUCUGGAGAGGGAUUCCUUCAGAAAUGGAGAAGACAGAAAGCUGCGGAGGCAGAUAUUUGCAGCAUGUUCGAGUGAGCAUGAUGACCACGAGUGUGUGUCGAACUUUUCAUGACCUGAUGACUGUGUUUCCCUAUCCUGAUCCUGGAGAACCCCAGCACUGCACAGUUUUGGUGUCUCUCUUAUCUGCCUUGGAGUCUUCACUGAU
Long non-coding RNA from Carassius gibelio (silver crucian carp), 497 nucleotides. RefSeq lists it as uncharacterized. The transcript is spliced from 3 exons. The record is from RefSeq and is a predicted model, not a curated record. Lineage: Eukaryota; Metazoa; Chordata; Actinopteri; Cypriniformes; Cyprinidae.